CAGUCGCCGCGGUAAUACGGAGGGUGCAAGCGUUAAUCGGAAUUACUGGGCGUAAAGCGUGCGUAGGCGGUUCGUUAAGUCUGUUGUGAAAGCCCCGGGCUCAACCUGGGAAUGGCAAUGGAUACUGGCGAGCUAGAGUGUGUCAGAGGAUGGUGGAAUUCCCGGUGUAGCGGUGAAAUGCGUAGAGAUCGGGAGGAACAUCAGUGGCGAAGGCGGCCAUCUGGGACAACACUGACGCUGAGGCACGAAAGCGUGGGGAGCAAACAGGAUUAGAUACCCCGGUAGUCCCUGUCUCUUAUAC
This 301-nucleotide ribosomal RNA is filed under the name uncultured bacterium. RNAcentral describes it as "partial 16S ribosomal RNA". It matches the Rfam family "Bacterial small subunit ribosomal RNA", at positions 509 to 807 of the family's 1533-position model. The record is from RNAcentral.